CCUACGGGAGGCAGCAGUGAGGAAUCUUGGUCAAUGGGCGCGAGCCUGAACCAGCCAAGUAGCGUGAAUGAUGACUGCCCUACGAGUUUUAAACUUCGUUUAUAGAGGAAUAAAUUGAGGCACGUAUGCCUUUUUGUAUUUACUUUAUGUAUAAAGAUCGGCUAACUCCGUGCCAUCAGCCGCGGUAAUACGGAGGGUCCGAGCGUUAGCCGGAUUUAUUGGGUUUAAAGGGAGCGUAGAUGGGUUGGUAAUUCAGGUGUGAAGGUUUUCGGCUCAACCGUACAAGUGCAAUUGAUACUGGAAGUCUUGAGUGCAGAUGAGGAAGGCGGAAUUCGUGGUGUAGCGGUGAAAUGCUUAGAGAUAACGAAGAACUCCGAUGGCGAAGGCAGCUUACUAAACUGUAACUGACAUUGAUGUUCGAAAGUGUGGGUAUCAAACAGGAUUAGAUACCCUUGUAGUC
RNAcentral lists this ribosomal RNA (460 nucleotides) under uncultured bacterium. Its description in RNAcentral is "partial 16S ribosomal RNA". It matches the Rfam family "Bacterial small subunit ribosomal RNA", at positions 338 to 795 of the family's 1533-position model. The record is from RNAcentral.